Long non-coding RNA from Triplophysa rosa, 2996 nucleotides. RefSeq lists it as uncharacterized. Lineage: Eukaryota; Metazoa; Chordata; Actinopteri; Cypriniformes; Nemacheilidae. The record is from RefSeq and is a predicted model, not a curated record. The transcript is spliced from 3 exons.
ACAAACUGUUAUAAUAACAUCCCAACAAACACCAAAAAAAAGAAUAUAACGGUUAACUGACAAGUAUAUAUCAAUCAAACUAACACAAAAAAAUAAAGCAUAAACAUGCGGUAUACAAUUCAGUAUCACAAGUAAACAAACACACCAUACUAUACACGCUAAAGCAAUAAACGUAAACAGUAACCACCUACAGAAAGGUGCAAGACAACAAAGAAAACUACUCCACUUAUUCCACACUUCGUUAACUUUACCUGUCUGAUUUUAACACACAAAAAAAAGAGUGCAAGCGCAUUAGUACAUUAGUGUUCAGCUGUGCGUAUAUUUAUAUCUCCGGAUUCAAUUCAAUUCAAUUUUAUUGAUAUAGCGCUUUUCACAAUGUGCAUUGUUCCAAAGCAGCUUUACAGGAGCAAAUAAGAAAAACACAGAAAGGUAAAACACAGCACAGUGCAUGGUGUUUAUAGACCAAGCAAGAUCAUUAUAAUAAAUAAUAUCUAAUAAAUAAAUGCAGUCUCCCGGUGAGCAAGCCAACACUGCACUGCUGUGGCGAGGAACCCAAACUCCAAUGCUGAAUAAUGGAGAAAAAAAAAACUCGGGAGAAACCAGGCUCAGCCGGGAGGGCCAGAUCUCCUCUGACGUGUCAUAGCUGCACUCAGUGACCCUGACCAAAGCCACCGAGCAACGUCCACGAAGAACAGGGAGAGCCCACGAGCCGUGACCCAGGAAGCCCCACCCGCCGAAACCGUGCAGGUCCAACCCGGUCCCAUUCUGCGAUCAACAACAGACAACAGAGGGACAACCAGGGAAAAGUGAAUGAAAACAGUUCCGUCUUAAUUAGUUCCGCUAAACGAUAAUCCCGUUAAGACAUCAUUAUCAUUCACUUCUCUUUAGUAUUGUGAGUUUGUUUUCAUUCGUUGUAUGUGUUUUAAUGAAUCUGUACUCUGGAAGCUGUCAUCAAAAUUCCCUGUGUGUGUGUGUGUGUGCGUGCGUGCGUGCGUGUAAGCAUACUUGACAAUAAAAUGUUCAUUCACACUAUUUAUGUUUCCUGUGUAACAUGUCUAAUCGUUACCACAAAUAACCACUAGAUGGCACAAGCGUAUAAAGAUUGACGUUCUUCUUCGUCACCGUUGUUAAGAGCUCCUCCUCUAAAGGAAGUUGCGACGUUGGUGAGCUGGGCUGUCGUAACCGCUAGGUCAGUGCACGUCCACACAUGAAUGAAUAUUCACAAUAAAACGAAGGCACGCAUCACUGCAUUAAUAGUCAUAAGAAGGAUUACAAGCUGUUACGACAGCCAGUGUCAACAUGACAACACACCUUCGUUUUAUUUGAAUUAUUCAUGAUGUUGUGACCCAAACACUACGUUAAGCUUACAGUGAGUUUACCUCAUAAGCCACGGACAUUGACGCAAGGUAAACGCACAUGGAAGAAGCAAAACCUGCCACCGAGAAAUACAAGAAGAGAAACCGCAGAAGAAGAGAAUGAGAAAUAGUUUCGUUGGGAAAAUGGCUUAGGGCAACAGACAGUCAGUCAGGCUUGUGUGACGGAGGCCAGCUAGUGAAGAGCUGUGCAGUGUGUAAACCUCACUCCCCGACCAACAGAGACGCUCUAGCGACAGACGCAGGGGACUGCGGUCUUUAGCCUCCAAGUUAGAGCGCUCGUCUCCCAUCCGGACCGUCGCCGGUUCGAGGCCCGCGCAUCGCAUUGCGAGUGGAACCGGUUACACGUGCACAGACAGAGUGGCCAGCGAGAUUAUGUGCCUGUGUUGAUUCACAAGCUUGACAGAUGCUGAUUUGGAUGACAACAUAAUAAUUAAUAAACCAGAAGCUGAAUCUGCUUGUUGCGGGACUGCAUACAUUAACAAAGGAGUUGUUUGGCAAAAUAUACUUGGACCAACCUGCCUUGAAGCGCACCAAGCCAUGUACUGCACAGAAAAACCUUAAAAGCAUUUAAGGCCUUAUAUGUAAGCAUGUGUAGCUCAGGGUCACUGGUUUCAAUUAUGCUUCAUUUGUUGCUGUAACAUCCUUGUCUGCUAUACAAACCUAUUUUAUCUAUACAGUUUCUUUGUAUGUUUCUCUUUUAUCAUAAUGUGUAACUUUCUUACACUUUCUAUGAGCGGCCUCUACACUAAUAUCAGUUUGUUUUGUUUUCCAUGCCCCGUCCUGGAGUUCCCGAAGACACCAGAGGUCGCCAGUCCAAGCUCCGGGUUGUGGUCUGAUGCUCUUCCCAGUUCAGCCAGAUGCUUGUGAUGAUGGGCAAUCCACCUGAUGACAACUAACAAUUACCAUACUUUAACUUUAACAAAUAUAUUCUUUUCAUACUUUUUGGUAUUAUUGCAAACUGUUCUGGUAUAUUGUAAUUUAACAAUAUUUAAAAUAAUAAUAUACCUAGAUUAAAUAUACUUCAAUUAAAUAAUUGACCGUUUCUGACAAUCCAAGAUAACAUUUAUUUCAGUUUCAUCAGUGUACAUUGCAUUGAGAAAUAAUACCAUGUGUCUUAAUAUCAUAUACUUUUUUAAAUUAUGAUGUAUGUACAGCUGCUUUGCAACAAUGAUAAUUGUGAAAAGCGCUAUAUAAAUACAAUUGAAAAUUGAAUAUUUUGCAGGUAGGAAUCGUUAUCUUAAUUCUUAGCUCAUUGGUUAGACUUAGUCAGUUUAAAUGUGUUUAUAUAAUAUAUGUAUAGUUAUGUGUAAUGUUAUUUGUAAUCUCCAACGCUGCUCCUGAAGAGCUACCAUCCUGCAGACUUCAGCUCCAACCCCUCUUCAGUACAUCUGUCUGUAUUUAUCCAGCAACCCUGAACACUUUGAUAGGAUGGAACAGGUGUGUUUGAUUGGGGUUGGAACUGAUAUCUUCAGGACGGUAGCUCUCCAGGAGCAGGGUUGGAGAGCCCUGGUUUAAGUUAUGUGUUAAAUGUGUAACACCGUGGUCCUGUGAGACAUAUCAUUUCUUUGUAUGUCCCCACAUAUAACAGAAUGACAAUAAAACUGAGCUGACUUGAAUGUG